CUGGGAUUACAUGCAUGAGCCACUGCGCCCAGCUUUUUUAAACUUUUAGGUUCAUUUAAUAGGUAAAUUGUGUGUCAGAGGGGUUUGUAGCUUAUUCUUUCAGAAACUCUGGCAUUAUCUGUAGAUGUGGACGUAAAUAUCCACCUCAUGGGGUUUUCAUAAAAAAAUUAUUGAGAUAAUGUAUGUAAUGUUGCACAGUGCUUUGCAGACUAUCUAAUAAAUAGUAGCUAUUAGUACAAACUUGUUGCUUUUUGGCUAGUUCUGCAGUCACUUUUGGAAUCAGCUUAUGAACCACACAAAAAAUUUGUCAUUAUUCUGUAGUCACUGUUUUUGAUACUGAUGAAAAUUUACAGUAUCCACCUGGAUCAUACCAUCUGGCUCACAAGAUUUGAUCUUGAAUUGUUAGCGCAAUGAACUAGAGCCCCAAAGGAUGAAGGUUUACCUUGUGGGUAUUAAAAAUGCUAGAAGCUUAGAAAGCUGUUUCCAAAGGGAGAUUCCUUGUUACCAACCAUGAUAGCAUUGCUAUGGUGUAUGUGGUCUCCCAGAGUGGCUGCUUUGGGAUGGGAGGUCACUUAGCUAUUAGAAGUUAGGUCUCUUUGUAUUAUACCUUAUAAACAAGGCUCAUUUGGACUUAGGGCUUCCCUUAGGGGUGACACUUAACCUUGCCAAGGAGAUCAUUUCUACCAGUGGGAUCCAUCCAGCAGAUCAGUUCUUAAGUUCAGCUUCAUCAUGUGUACUGCUACACAGUGCAGGCUGACUUCGCAUUCACCAUUCAGAUGCCCUCUCCUAGUUUUAUGUUCUUGGCAGCAAUGAAAAGGACCUCAGAGUUCUCAGGCAAGAUGAUCUUCACUGAGCUAUAUGUUGGAGGAACCCAGAACCAUCAUGGUUUUAGGGUGCAGUUGAAAAUCCUUGCUGUGAAUGGGGUUUGUGACACUGAAAGUUACCCCUUCCCUGGGAAUUUUGUGGGAACCCUUGCCACACAAAUCAAUGGAGCGGUGGGAAGAAGCACCACAAGAAAUGCCUUUUUUUUUCCUUUAAAAAAUGUUUGAAAACUCCUACUAAUAUGGGUAGGAAAACUUCUGCCACAUCUGAUCAUAAAAUGAGAGUUGCUCAAAAUACUAGUGCAGAUCACUCUGACAUGUGAAAUACAAGACUUCAGGAUUGGUGCUGGAAACUUAAUAAAUACAGUGAACUUGAAAAGCUUAUCCCUAAACUGUAAUCCUCCCAAACAAAACAAAAACAAAGCAAGAAAAAAAAAAACCUUAUUUAAAAUUGUCAAAAGAGGCUGAAUUUUUUGAAGUUACCAAAAUUAUAUCUUUAGACCUUUCUUCUGAUUUGGUAUUUUAUGUAUUUAAGCAGUUACCUGAUUCUGAUUUAAAGGAGCAAUUUUAUUUCUUCUUUUCUAACUCAUUUACCCAAUGAGUUUGUGUGACUGUAGAGAAAAGUAGGCUGUGUGGUUUUUCUAGUUGUCUAUACACGUUGCCUCAUAGAGCAUAUAUACACAUGUGUAAUGUUUUCAUUUCCACUAAGCCGUUCACUCCCUAGAUACUAUGCUGGUGUUUGUUUUUCUGCUGAGGUCUCCCACAUUUUUAAUGCCUUUCUGAGUUACUCCUCCUGAAGGAACGUUAUAUACUGUACUGGAAGCAAAUGAGGCUUUUCUUAAACUUCCAGUCUUGGGUUUUGCAUGUAGCAUUUCCAUUCCUUACAGAUGAAUGAGUUCUUUUUUUCCCUAUUGACUAUUAGGGCUUUGCCUUAUGGAAAGGAAUAGGGUGGUGAAGGGAAAAUAUUUUGAGAUCUUGCCUGGUCUUAAUAGGGAGUUUGUGACACUUAGAUUUUCAAGUGUUCAGUUUAUACCUUUCCCAAAUCUGGUUGCAGUGUAUUUAGUCAAGCAUUGAAGACCUAACAUAUGGCAUGUUUUGCAAGGCACAGGGAAAGAAAAAUGAACUGAGAACAGCGAGACCUUCUGGAAAUUCCCAGAGUGGGACGCUGCAAACCCUGGGUCCUGGGCCUGCCUGAAUCACAGCCUCAGUGGGAGGAUCUUAUGAAAGGCUCUGCCUUUUCCCAUGGUACCGUAGAAACUGCAAAUAUAAUGACGAUAUGGAGAGCAGGGGCAGAAAGCAAGGGCUUCUUCGCUGGAAUAAGGAAGAGGAGGAAGCCAAGGAAGACAGACACUGUGGCGUCAGUGCGGUAGCCUUUCCUAGUAAAGAGACAAGCAUCGCUGAGGAGAAGGGUCAGGAAUUUUCAGGAGUAACAUGAUGUCUCGGGGCAGUCUGUGCAAACACAGUGCCUCUUUUUAGGACUUAGUCUAGAGGUGAAAUUAACCUUAGUUCUUGCCAGUUGCUGCCAUGCUAUCCACAGUGGAUUUAAUGGGCAAUGGUGAAUGUCUGGAAGCAGGGCCUGGCUAGAGUAGAUGUCUUGGUGUGAAUUUGUGAGCCCGUUAAUUGGGGCAAGUCCUAGAAGGAGUGAUCAGGAGUGAAGAUGGUUAGAUAAAGGAGAAUAGAAGAGGAUGAGACCUCUUUCCUAUGAAGGCCACACCUCCAUGUGCCUCCCUUCUCAAGUGAGAAGUUGGUCUCUUUUCUUUACAGUUGGUACUUUAUAGAUGUUUUCUCCUUUAACUCUCAUAACCACCUAUGAGGUAACCAAGCUUCUAAGAGCUUAUGUAAUGAGACCACUUGCAGCACUGGAUCCCAGCCCCAGACCAGGACUCCAAAGGGAGUUUUUCCUUCCUGAUCUCACACUGCAGCCUCCCUAAAAAGAGUGGAUUCCCCAGGGAAUGAAAUCUUCCUGGCUUCAUAUCUUCCCCUGAGAGUCUAUGAAGGAUGCAAGUAGUUCUUGCCUGAAGAAUUGGGGUGAGGGAGUUGUUCUUAAGGAGGAAAUUAUAUCACUUACUUUUCAAAGAAAGAAUCCCAGCCAGGGACAAAGCCAGGCUCCCGGGUAAACCACAGUACGGUCAUCAGGAUGAAGAAAAAUCCAGUCACCAUUUCAGGGUAGCUAUAAAAUAAAACAGAAAGACCCACUCAGGAACUGAGUAAUUUCUCCUAGCUUUUUCACUUUGCUUCUGGAAGCUUCUGUAUUUAGAGUUUCAAUACCCUAGACAUAAAACACACUCACUGCCUAACCACUGUGAAUGGCUGACAGUGAGAUGAGGAGAAGACUGAGUGGCCCCAGAAAACAUGACAUUAACCAUGUUCCCUGGAGAAACUUCUGUGGAAAGGGCAAGAGAACACAGCACUGUACAUUUAUAAAAUAAUUUCAAAUACAGCCUACAAGGAGAGUGCCGUGAAAUAGGCACCCCCAAACACUGUGCUGGUGGGAAGAGGAAUUGCUACAACCUUUUUGAGGCCAUUUGAUGAUAUACAUCAGAAGCCUUAAAGUUGGUCAUUCCCUGGCCGGGUGUGGGCUCACACCUGUAAUCCCAGCACUUUGGGAAGCGGAGGCGGGCAGAUCACGAGGUCAGGAGAUGGCGACCAUCCUGGCUAACACAGUGAAACCCCGUCUCUACUAAAAAUACAAAAAAUAGCCGGGCAUGGUGGCGGGUGCCUGUAGUCCCAGUUACUUGGGAGGCUGAGGCAGGAGAAUCACUUGAACCCCAGAGGCGAAUGUUGCAGUGAGCCAAGAUUGUGCCACUGCACUCUAGUCUGGGCGACAGAGCGAGGCUCCAUCUCAAAAAAAAAAGUUGGUCAUUCCCAUCAUCUAACCAGAAGUGCAUACUGAGACAUUUAUUACCUAUUAAAAAAUGGAAGCAUCCUGUAUAUCCAAUGAUAUUUCAUACACUGAAUACAUUUUGAUACAACUCUAUGUUAAAAUGAGAUGCAUCUACUGAUAAUCCUGUUUCCACAGCAGAGUUAAGGACAUGGAACAUAUUGUACACUGUUGAGUUGAGUACAGUGUUGAGUUGAGAAAGGCAAGGUAUACAAUGGUUUCGGUGUGGACUGAAUUUUACCAAAAAUACAUAAGAGUUUUGCACAAAAAAGCAUGGAAAGAAGUGUCAACAUUUGUUAACACAGGGUGCUAAGAAUUCAGUCAAUUUUAAUUUUUUUCUUAUACUGUCUUGUAUUUUUGAAAUGUUCUACGAUGAACAUGUAUUCCUUUUAUAACUUAAAGCUUUAAAUAAGACAGUGUCUACCUGGAUUGUGUUAUGCAAAGUUGUGUGUGCCAAUUGCCAUAAAAGGAGAAAUAGCACUAAAUAGGAAGCUGGGUCCCUGUGGAGAAGCUGAUAGAAGUGGCUGAGGGUUGGUUAGAGAUUUCUUGGGCCCUCGGUCUCCAAGUCUGUCUUUGAUACUGCUUUUUGCCCUAAAUAUAGCACAGCGUCUCCCAUCUCCCUGGGAGUGAUAACUGGACCACUGUGGUGGCAUGUCUGAGCAAUGAGAGGAGGCCUGGCUUUGGAAGGAAUUCACAUUUUCCAAGAGGGUGACUGUGCUGUCUUUCCCUUCUUCUGCCUCCGUCUGCCCCAUGGUCAGCACUCCACCCCAUGCCACGGCUAUACCUUGGACUCCAAACGGAGCAAAGGGAAAGGGUGGCCACCUGAAAUCUGGGCCAGCUUGGCUUUGGCAUUAAAUAGCAUCUUCUAAAUGCCUGAUUCAGAGUUGUGGAAAAUUCUCCCAGUGUCAGGGGCUGUCAAGAACAAGGCUCCUCCUGUGCUCACUUUACCUGCUGUGUUUCUGCUGGAGGAGGAGAGAAGAGGAAUGGCUGAUUUUUACCUAAUGUCUCCCAGCUUUUCAUAUUCUUCUUGGAUCCUCUUCUCUGACAACUGUUCCCUUUUGGUCUUCUUCUUCUUGCUCAGAGAGCAGGUCUCUUUAAAACUGAGAGGGGAGAAUGAGCAAAUGAUGAAAGAAAACACACUUCUGAGGCCCAGAGAUCAAAUAUUAGGUAUUUACUAAACCACUCGCCUGCUGCAGUCACUUUUCUCCUCUUCACAUGCUCUAUCCCUCUAUCCCCCACCUAUUCAUACGGCUUUUAUCUGCCACAUUAUCCGGACCCUCAUCAACCUUGUGCCCUAGACUAUUGGGGAUAUCCAUCUGGGUCUGUCUCUGGUAUAUUGGUGUGAAGUGAUGUCUCAAGGACUUGUGCACGUGUAUUCGCGUGGGGUCGUUUCUACCUACUUGUCUUUUACAUAAGUAAAAUAAUUAGUGUAAUGUGGUAUAUGUGUCUAGGUAUAUAAACUACAACUUUUACUCCACUAUGUGUCUAGAUGUAUAACUAACAUUUUUACUUCAGAGAAGCUUUGUCUCUAGCCAAACACACACACAAACAUCUGCAUAUAUGGAACACACAGUGUUAGUUUUAUAUUGGCAAUACUGGAGUUAAGAAGUAUAUAGACGUCAUUGGUUUGACAACAGUCUGAGUAAAAAGAAAAGUCAGAGAACAUUUCUUGACCAAUGGGAGCAUAUGGACUAAUAGCAAAACAUUAUAUUAUCUUCCCUUUAUGUGUUUGAAACUGAUCAAAUUUGGAGUAGACUGACUUGUUAUUUUGAGGCAUGUGAGCAUAUUUUAUUCAGGCUACUAAGUAUAAAUCACCCAUGCCUAUAAAGUUAAACCUAAUGCAAAUUCUACUUGGAGUCAUAUUUUUUAUUUCUUAUUUCUUGGAGUAAUUGGAAGUACUCUAUAUGCUUUGAGAGCAAUAAAACGACAUUAAAUACUCUUCA
Long non-coding RNA from Macaca mulatta (Rhesus monkey), 5645 nucleotides. RefSeq lists it as uncharacterized. The record is from RefSeq and is a predicted model, not a curated record. Lineage: Eukaryota; Metazoa; Chordata; Mammalia; Primates; Cercopithecidae.